RNAcentral lists this ribosomal RNA (499 nucleotides) under Basidiomycota sp. B33. RNAcentral's name for it is "eukaryotic LSU rRNA". The stretch from base 139 to 292 matches the Rfam family "5.8S ribosomal RNA". Lineage: Eukaryota; Fungi; Basidiomycota. The record is from RNAcentral.
CUCUGCUUAUUCCCUUUACCCCUGGGCCCUUUCUGUAGGUUGGGGUGGGCUCCUUUACGGGAACCUUUUGCCCGCCUAAGUAUUCUACAAACCCUUUAAAGUAUUAGAAAGUAAACGCGUUUAAAGCAUUUAUAAUACAACUUUUAGCAAAGGAUUUUUUGGCUUUUGCAUUGAUGAAGAACGCAACGAAAUUCGAUAAGUAAUGGGAAUUGCCGAAUUCAAGGAAUUAUUGAAUUUUUGAACGCCCCCUGCGCUCCUUGGUAUUUCGAGGAGCCAGCCUGUUUKAAGGUCAAGGAAUUUUCAAACUAUAAAUCCUUGUUAUUAAUAAGCUUGGACUUGGAGGCCUGCUGGCCCUCGUCGGUCGGCUCCUCUUGAACGCAUUAGCUUGAUUCCGUACGGAUCGGCUCUCAGUGUGAUAAUGGUCUACGCUGUGACCGUGAAGUGUUUUGGCGAGCUUCUAACCGUCCAUUAGGACAACUUUUUAACAUCUACCUCAAAU